RNAcentral lists this ribosomal RNA (1458 nucleotides) under uncultured organism. RNAcentral describes it as "SSU rRNA". It matches the Rfam family "Bacterial small subunit ribosomal RNA". The record is from RNAcentral.
CUGGCGGCGUGCCUAAUACAUGCAAGUAGAACGCUGAAGAGAGGAGCUUGCUCUUCUUGGAUGAGUUGCGAACGGGUGAGUAACGCGUAGGUAACCUGCCUUGUAGCGGGGGAUAACUAUUGGAAACGAUAGCUAAUACCGCAUAACAAUGGAUGACACAUGUCAUUUAUUUGAAAGGGGCAAAUGCUCCACUACAAGAUGGACCUGCGUUGUAUUAGCUAGUAGGUGAGGUAACGGCUCACCUAGGCGACGAUACAUAGCCGACCUGAGAGGGUGAUCGGCCACACUGGGACUGAGACACGGCCCAGACUCCUACGGGAGGCAGCAGUAGGGUAUCUUCGGCAAUGGGGGCAACCCUGACCGAGCAACGCCGCGUGAGUGAAGAAGGUUUUCGGAUCGUAAAGCUCUGUUGUAAGUCAAGAACGAGUGUGAGAGUGGAAAGUUCACACUGUGACGGUAGCUUACCAGAAAGGGACGGCUAACUACGUGCCAGCAGCCGCGGUAAUACGUAGGUCCCGAGCGUUGUCCGGAUUUAUUGGGCGUAAAGCGAGCGCAGGCGGUUUGAUAAGUCUGAAGUUAAAGGCUGUGGCUCAACCAUAGUUCGCUUUGGAAACUGUCAAACUUGAGUGCAGAAGGGGAGAGUGGAAUUCCAUGUGUAGUGGUGAAAUGCGUAGAUAUAUGGAGGAACACCGGUGGCGAAAGCGGCUCUCUGGUCUGUAACUGACGCUGAGGCUCGAAAGCGUGGGGAGCGAACAGGAUUAGAUACCCUGGUAGUCCACGCCGUAAACGAUGAGUGCUAGGUGUUGGAUCCUUUCCGGGAUUCAGUGCCGCAGCUAACGCAUUAAGCACUCCGCCUGGGGAGUACGACCGCAAGGUUGAAACUCAAAGGAAUUGACGGGGGCCCGCACAAGCGGUGGAGCAUGUGGUUUAAUUCGAAGCAACGCGAAGAACCUUACCAGGUCUUGACAUCCCGAUGCUAUUUCUAGAGAUAGAAAGUUACUUCGGUACAUCGGUGACAGGUGGUGCAUGGUUGUCGUCAGCUCGUGUCGUGAGAUGUUGGGUUAAGUCCCGCAACGAGCGCAACCCCUAUUGUUAGUUGCCAUCAUUCAGUUGGGCACUCUAGCGAGACUGCCGGUAAUAAACCGGAGGAAGGUGGGGAUGACGUCAAAUCAUCAUGCCCCUUAUGACCUGGGCUACACACGUGCUACAAUGGUUGGUACAACGAGUUGCGAGUCGGUGACGGCAAGCUAAUCUCUUAAAGCCAAUCUCAGUUCGGAUUGUAGGCUGCAACUCGCCUACAUGAAGUCGGAAUCGCUAGUAAUCGCGGAUCAGCACGCCGCGGUGAAUACGUUCCCGGGCCUUGUACACACCGCCCGUCACACCACGAGAGUUUGUAACACCCGAAGUCGGUGAGGUAACCUUUUGGAGCCAGCCGCCUAAGGUGGGAUAGAUGAUUGG